This 253-nucleotide ribosomal RNA is filed under the name uncultured bacterium. Its description in RNAcentral is "partial 16S ribosomal RNA". It matches the Rfam family "Bacterial small subunit ribosomal RNA", at positions 524 to 776 of the family's 1533-position model. The record is from RNAcentral.
UACGGAGGGUGCAAGCGUUAUCCGGAUUCACUGGGUUUAAAGGGUGCGUAGGUGGGAAUGUAAGUCAGUGGUGAAAUCUCCGUGCUUAACAUGGAAACUGCCAUUGAUACUAUGUUUCUUGAAUCUUCCGGAGGUCAGCGGAAUAUGUCAUGUAGCGGUGAAAUGCUUAGAUAUGACAUAGAACACCAAUUGCGAAGGCAGCUGACUACAGGGGCAUUGACACUGAGGCACGAAAGCGUGGGGAGCAAACAGG